AGAGUUUGAUCAUGGCUCAGAAUCAACGCUGGCGGCGUGCCUCAGACAUGCAAGUCGAACGCGAAAGUCCCCUUCGGGGGAUAAGUAGAGUGGCGCACGGGUGAGUAACACGUAGGUAAUCUACCUUCGGGUGGGGAAUAACCCAGGGAAACUUGGGCUAAUACCGCAUAAUGCAGCGGCAUCACAUGGUGACAGUUGUUAAAGCGGGGGAUCUUCGGAUCUCGCGCCUGAAGAGGAGCCUGCGGCAGAUUAGCUAGUUGGUAAGGUAACGGCUUACCAAGGCGACGAUCUGUAGCCGGCCUGAGAGGGCGGUCGGCCACACUGACACUGACAUACGGGUCAGACUCCUACGGGAGGCAGCAGUCGGGAAUUUUGGGCAAUGGGCGAAAGCCUGACCCAGCAACGCCGCGUGAAGGAUGAAAUCCUUCGGGAUGUAAACUUCGCAAGAAUGGGAAGAAUUAGUAGGGGUUAAUACCCCCUAUGAUGACGGUACCAUUUGUAAGCUCCGGCUAACUCCGUGCCAGCAGCCGCGGUAAUACGGGGGGAGCAAGCGUUGUUCGGAUUUACUGGGCGUAAAGGGCGCGUAGGCGGUCAGCACAAGUCAGUUGUGAAAUCUCCAGGCUUAACUCGGAAAGGUCAACUGAUACUGUGCGACUAGAGUGCGGAAGGGGCAACUGGAAUUCUCGGUGUAGCGGUGAAAUGCGUAGAUAUCGAGAGGAACACCUGCGGCGAAGGCGGGUUGCUGGGCCGACACUGACGCUGAUGCGCGAAAGCCAGGGGAGCGAACGGGAUUAGAUACCCUAGUAGUCC
This 810-nucleotide ribosomal RNA is filed under the name uncultured bacterium. RNAcentral describes it as "bacterial SSU rRNA". It matches the Rfam family "Bacterial small subunit ribosomal RNA", at positions 8 to 796 of the family's 1533-position model. The record is from RNAcentral.